GUCUGCUGUCUCGUAUUUACUCGAACCAGCAGCACGUGGUUUGUUGACGGAUCGAAUUUCCCACGACUCAGCGAAAAAAAAAUAAAAAUAAAAACCGAGUCGGAACCAAAGAAGUGUCGCGUCUCCAAAAUCGCGUCGAGCCGUUUUCGCGGUGACUCAGACACGCCAUUGCUCUGGAGCUGUAACAUCCCACCGGCUGGUUGAAAUGGAAGGGGAAGGGACACCGGGUGUCGACCUGAGCAGGAAGUUUGUGUCGGAGUCUGAGCUUGAUGAGAAAAGAAAGAAAAGACAGGAAGAGUGGGAGAAAGUGAGGAAACCCGACGAUCCAGAGGAGGCCCCAGAGGAGGAGUACGACCCUCGCUCCCUCUUCGAGCGGCUGCAGGAGCAGAAAGACAAGAAGCAGGAGGAAUAUGAGGAGCAAUUCAAAUUCAGGAACAUGGUGAGAGGAUUGGAUGAUGAUGAGACCAGCUUCCUGGACGAGGUCUCCCGGCAACAGAGCCUGGUGGAGAAGCAACGCAGGGACGAGGAGAAGAAGGAACUGUUGGAAUACAGAAGCGCUCUAGUGAAGAAGGCGACUGCUGAAAGCCGCAGAGAACCAGAAAAGAAGGCAGCGCCGAAACAUUCAGGAUCAGAGCAAAGGACCAGUCACCUGUCUCAGGCCCAUUUAUUGGCUGGAGCUGUAAAGAGACGCAGUUCUUCCCAGUCGUCAGACAGCAGCAAAAAACAGAAGGUGGAAAUCUCAGCAGCAACGACAGGAAAUGGAGACAGACACACAGUAGUUUCGUUGAAAUCCAUCCUGUUGUUUUUACGUAAUCCUGCUGAUAAACAAACCAACCCACAAACGGACAGAGGCAAAAACAUAACCUCCUUGGCCGAGAACAGGAGGCAGGAGGAGCGGGGGGAGCUGAAGACCAACAAACCGUCCCUGACCUGACGUCCAAGACGCCCUCGGCUCCCCUGAGCUCCGGUCAGGGCGUCUUACACCUGCCGUCCGCAGCCGUGUGCGUCGGCGUUUUACCAGGAUUGUGGGUUUAUUCUGGCAGCAGCGACUCUGACAGCAGCUCGGACAGCGAAGCUCUCAAACGUGACACCUCCGUCCUUCCUUUCCCUUAAUCACGUCUCACGCAGUUUAAGCCGAGCAACCAAUCCCGCACCCUGACGACAUCCUGCCCCCACACCCCCCCCCACACCCCCCUCCCAUCCCAAGCCACAGCGACUGCAAGUUGUGCUAUUGGCUGAGGGAACAGUGACUGACAGCUGUGGAGCGAGGAAGAGACUGUGUCACAUGACUCAGAGGAGAGAAGGAAGGACGAGCUUCUUUCUCUCUUUGGGUUCAAUGCAAAGUUUGACAAAUGUUCGUGUGUGUUCGUGUGAUGUGUUUUCCCCGUCAGUCGUGCUGGAAAGACGCUGGAGUGUUUCCUGUCGUCUCAGCUUUGUAUUGUUGGUUAAAGUCUGAGCAGAGAAAUAAAGAGCUUUCCCUUGUUCUGUGUGUUUACUGUGUCCAUGAGUGUGUGAGACAGAGACACAACUUGUUUAACUUUAUUAAAAUCCAUGAUACGAACGCUUGUGAUGAUAUAGAAUGUGGUAAAAAAAAAAAACCCUGAGGUUUGUGGCGUCUGAACAAUCGUCCGUCACCUGAUUCAAUUACAGAGUUGAGGAUUUUGAGGUUUGAUGUGUUUCUAUGUGAGAAAAUUAGAAAGCUAAAGUUUGCCAGUAGAGGCUGAUGGGAAUUUUAUUGGUUGUAUGUAUUCAAUUAUAUAAAAAAAAAAA
Non-coding RNA from Paralichthys olivaceus (Japanese flounder), 1770 nucleotides. Lineage: Eukaryota; Metazoa; Chordata; Actinopteri; Pleuronectiformes; Paralichthyidae. The record is from RefSeq and is a predicted model, not a curated record.